AGGGAGUUUGAUCCUGGCUCAGGAUGAACGCUAGCUACAGGCUUAACACAUGCAAGUCGAGGGGCAGCAGGAUCUUAGCUUGCUAAGAUUGCUGGCGACCGGCGCACGGGUGAGUAACGCGUAUCCAACCUUCCCCUUAGUAGGGCAUAGCCCGAUGAAAAUCGGAUUAAUACCCUAUGUUCUUCGUAGAAGACAUCUGACAUGAAGCAAAGAUUUAUCGCUAAGGGAUGGGGAUGCGUCCGAUUAGGUAGUCGGCGGGGUAACGGCCCACCGAGCCAUCGAUCGGUAGGGGUUCUGAGAGGAAGGUCCCCCACAUUGGAACUGAGACACGGUCCAAACUCCUACGGGAGGCAGCAGUGAGGAAUAUUGGUCAAUGGGCGAGAGCCUGAACCAGCCAAGUAGCGUGCAGGAUGACGGCCCUAUGGGUUGUAAACUGCUUUUAUGCGGGGAUAAAGUGAGGGACGUGUCCCUUUUUGUAGGUACCGCAUGAAUAAGGACCGGCUAAUUCCGUGCCAGCAGCCGCGGUAAUACGGAAGGUCCGGGCGUUAUCCGGAUUUAUUGGGUUUAAAGGGAGCGCAGGCUGGAGAUUAAGCGUGACGUGAAAUGUAGCCGCUCAACGGCUGAGUUGCGUCGCGAACUGGUUUUCUUGAGUGAGUACGACGUCAGCGGAAUUCGUGGUGUAGCGGUGAAAUGCUUAGAUAUCACGAAGAACCCCGAUUGCGAAGGCAGCUGACGAGUCCUUUACUGACGCUAAAGCUCGAAGGUGCGGGUAUCGAACAGGAUUAGAUACCCUGGUAGUCCCCU
This 804-nucleotide ribosomal RNA is filed under the name uncultured Bacteroidota bacterium. Its description in RNAcentral is "bacterial SSU rRNA". It matches the Rfam family "Bacterial small subunit ribosomal RNA", at positions 1 to 799 of the family's 1533-position model. Lineage: Bacteria; Pseudomonadati; Bacteroidota. The record is from RNAcentral.